This is a long non-coding RNA of Panthera uncia (snow leopard), 787 nucleotides long. RefSeq lists it as uncharacterized. The transcript has 4 exons. The record is from RefSeq and is a predicted model, not a curated record. NCBI's taxonomy places the organism in Eukaryota, Metazoa, Chordata, Mammalia, Carnivora, Felidae.
UUCAAACUCCAUCCUCCUUCUCUCUCUUUCUCCAGCUGUGGUCCCAGGACUUGCAGUGGGGGCGGGGCACCUCCUCUUCUCCUCCCCGGCCCCCUCUUUUGGGGUCUGGGCCCCCACUGUAUUCACUGUGGGUGAAGGCCACGCAGGGAGUCACGUGUCUCGGAUCCGUCCUAUCAAUGCCAAGGUUCCUCGGUGGGCUUUAUGGCUUCUUCAGCCACCACCGACUCCAAUUCCGCGUUCUGUUGCUGCAGCAUUCAUGAACCACAGACCUCACUCACCGGGAGUAGACGUAAGCUCCACCUCUGGAAGGGAAGAGCAUCCGAGAGUGUGUGGGCAAAGUAUGAAAGCAGCACAGAGAUCCUGACCAUUCCUGGUUCAUCUUCUGCCUAACUCAUGAAAAUGAAAACCACACAUGCAGCGGGGGACACGUGGCUCCCUCAGAAGUUCCUGCAAAAGCAACGGGCUAGCUGAUUUUCUCCAAUUCUCCAUCCCAGCGCGGGCUCCUGCAUUAGGAUUUGGCUUGGGGUUUAUUGCCUCAUGGUCACAACAUGGCUGCUGAGCUCCGGACAUCACCUUCUCCCACAACAGGCUGCUGUCAUCUCAAGGCAGAAGACUGCUUCCAAACUCACUCACCUGGCCGUGGGCAGGCCUCAGGGGCUCGCAGGCUGUUGGGGACAGACAUGAGUCCCCGCCCGAGGGCCUGUCCAUCCGGCAGCUUCCAAUAUGACAGCCAGGCCCCGCAAGACAGGGAGUGUGGCCAGGACAGAAGUCAGUCUUUUUGUAACCU